This 463-nucleotide ribosomal RNA is filed under the name Streptococcus mitis. RNAcentral's name for it is "bacterial SSU rRNA". It matches the Rfam family "Bacterial small subunit ribosomal RNA", at positions 38 to 483 of the family's 1533-position model. Lineage: Bacteria; Bacillati; Bacillota; Bacilli; Lactobacillales; Streptococcaceae. The record is from RNAcentral.
GGCGGCGUGCCUAAUACAUGCAAGUAGAACGCUGAAGGAGGAGCUUGCUUCUCCGGAUGAGUUGCGAACGGGUGAGUAACGCGUAGGUAACCUGCCUGGUAGCGGGGGAUAACUAUUGGAAACGAUAGCUAAUACCGCAUAAGAGUAGAUGUUGCAUGACAUUUGCUUAAAAGGUGCAAUUGCAUCACUACCAGAUGGACCUGCGUUGUAUUAGCUAGUUGGUGGGGUAACGGCUCACCAAGGCGACGAUACAUAGCCGACCUGAGAGGGUGAUCGGCCACACUGGGACUGAGACACGGCCCAGACUCCUACGGGAGGCAGCAGUAGGGAAUCUUCGGCAAUGGACGGAAGUCUGACCGAGCAACGCCGCGUGAGUGAAGAAGGUUUUCGGAUCGUAAAGCUCUGUUGUAAGAGAAGAACGAGUGUGAGAGUGGAAAGUUUCACAACUGUGACGGUAUCUACC